This 30-nucleotide non-coding RNA is filed under the name Macaca fascicularis (crab-eating macaque). Lineage: Eukaryota; Metazoa; Chordata; Mammalia; Primates; Cercopithecidae. The record is from RNAcentral. RNAcentral also lists the same sequence under 1 other name.
UGGGAGGAGCUGUUGAAAGAGGAUCUGGUC